Molecule: ribosomal RNA, 553 nt
Filed under: Guibemantis depressiceps
Lineage: Eukaryota; Metazoa; Chordata; Amphibia; Anura; Mantellidae
Description: partial 16S ribosomal RNA
Rfam family: Bacterial large subunit ribosomal RNA
Source: RNAcentral
AGUCAGCCUGCCCAGUGAUAAAAUUCAACGGCCGCGGUACCCUAACCGUGCGAAGGUAGCAUAAUCACUUGUUCUUUAAAUGAGGACUUGUAUCAACGGCAUCACGAGGGUUAAACUGUCUCCUUUUUCAAAUCAGUGAAACUAAUCUCUCCGUGAAGAAGCGGGGAUAAAUUUAUAAGACGAGAAGACCCCAUGGAGCUUUAAACCCAGCUACAACCUAAUCUAAUUCUACCUUUCAACUUUUAGGACUCUGUAUUUCUGGUUUUAGGUUGGGGUGACCACGGAGCACAAACUAGCCUCCAUAAUGAAUAGACCUCCUCUUUAUCUAAGAAUCACAACUCUAAGAAUUAGAAUUCUAACAUAAAAUGAUCCGACAUUCGAUCAACGAACCAAGUUACCCUGGGGAUAACAGCGCAAUCCACUUAAAGAGCCCAUAUCGACAAGUGGGUUUACGACCUCGAUGUUGGAUCAGGGUAUCCCAGUGGUGCAGCAACUACUAAAGGUUCGUUUGUUCAACGAUCAAAACCCUACAUGAUCUGAUUUUCAAACCGGA